This is a long non-coding RNA of Vidua chalybeata, 560 nucleotides long. RefSeq lists it as uncharacterized. NCBI's taxonomy places the organism in Eukaryota, Metazoa, Chordata, Aves, Passeriformes, Viduidae. The transcript is spliced from 4 exons. The record is from RefSeq and is a predicted model, not a curated record.
GCUCCCUCAGGGAAAUGUCCGUCCCCUCAUGGAUACCCACAGCGGGCGGGGACCGGACCCCACACAGGGGCUCCUACUGCGGCCAGAUGAGCCUCCGCUUCUCCCCCUGCGGGGAGUGUGUACCGACUGGUAAUGCGAGGGGUGCCCUCAGUUUUUGAGCCAUGGCAUUGGCACAGGAAAUGCUUGACAAGAUAUUUCUGACAAAACCCGAUGAUUUCAAUCCAGAAACAGAAAAUAGCACAUCCACAAAAUUCUGGUACUUCUAGGUAUAUUUUGUGCAGGGGUACUGCUGCAAGUGACCACAGGUGAACUGGAGAUCUGAAAACUGGCCUCUGCAGAGGUGGCCAGAGCACAAUGAACUACAGGGAAUGGUACAGAGUCUCAUGGUGAGAGACAGAUCUUGUACCAGCACAGAGUUACAGCCAUUUCUAUGGAAAUUGAAGGUUUGAAGCUCAGGAGAAAGCAGCAACAAAUUUCCCAUCAGACAAGAAGAUGGUUCAAAGAUAACAGCCCAGAGCUAACUUCGGCUGAUCUUCCCUGGGAAUCCUUCUCUGUGUGCA